RNAcentral lists this ribosomal RNA (446 nucleotides) under Euplexaura sp. NF-2020. RNAcentral describes it as "partial large subunit ribosomal RNA". Lineage: Eukaryota; Metazoa; Cnidaria; Anthozoa; Malacalcyonacea; Euplexauridae. The record is from RNAcentral.
UACGUGAAACCGUUGAAAGGGAAGCGAAUGGAGUUAGCAAUUCGCCCUGCCAGACUCAGUUGCUCGUGCUUCGCGACGUACGCGCUCUCGAUCCGCAUGGACGAGACGUGUGCGGGUGCGAUGUGCGGUCGGCGCACUUCUGGCGAGCGAGCGUCAGCGUCGGUUGUCGAUGGGCGACAAGGACACAAGGAAGGUGGGCCUGCCUUUAUUGGCCGGUUGUUAAGCCUUGUGCUCGAAUAGCUCGACGGCGACCGUGGCUCCUGCGACGUGUGCCUGGCUGGUGACUCGAACGAUCGGUCCGGCAUGUCGACUGUGGCGGACGGCACGCCUGUGCGCUCGAACUGCUGCCGGUCGAUCGSGACGAUGUUCGCACACUACACGUCGAAGAUGCUGACGGCCAUACGGCUCCAUCCGACCCGUCUUGAAACACGGACCAAGGAGUCUAA